Molecule: ribosomal RNA, 495 nt
Filed under: uncultured bacterium
Lineage: Bacteria
Description: partial 16S ribosomal RNA
Rfam family: Bacterial small subunit ribosomal RNA
Source: RNAcentral
GAUGAACGCUGGCGGCGUGCCUAAUACAUGCAAGUAGAACGCUGAAGGAGGAGCUUGCUCUUCUGGAUGAGUUGCGAACGGGUGAGUAACGCGUAGGUAACCUGCCUGGUAGCGGGGGAUAACUAUUGGAAACGAUAGCUAAUACCGCAUGACAACAGUUAUUGCAUGAUAACUGUUUAAAAGGGGCAACUGCUCCACUACCAGAUGGACCUGCGUUGUAUUAGCUAGUUGGUGAGGUAACGGCUCACCAAGGCGACGAUACAUAGCCGACCUGAGAGGGUGAUCGGCCACACUGGGACUGAGACACGGCCCAGACUCCUACGGGAGGCAGCAGUAGGGAAUCUUCGGUAAUGGACGGAAGUCUGACCGAGCAACGCCGCGUGAGUGAAGAAGGUUUUCGGAUCGUAAAGCACUGUUGUAAGAGAAGAACGAGUGUGAGGGUGGAAAGUUCACACUGUGACUGUAUCUUACCAGAAAGGGACGGCUAACUACGUG